AUAGUUAGAGCACGACCUUACUUGAACAGGAUCUGUUCUAUAGGAUCGUACCUCUGUAUCCUUGAGUUCUAAGGAGACAGAAAACCAAGUCUGGUGGAUGAAUAAUGACCGUGCGAUUAGAGCGUGAUUAACGGCCACCGUUGAUCUUCGGAUCGCCGGUGCUGUAGAGGAUCGUUCCUCAGCUCCUUCGAGAGCCGGGGAUGGUCGCACGGUUGUCUGACAGACUCCCAAAUCUUUUUAAAUUUUUAUUUUCAUUUAUUUUGUAGUUUAAUUACUGCAACAUCGAGCUAAAAAUAAUUUCAGUAUAUUUUUUUUGAAAUUUUGAGAGACAAAAAUGAAAGGGAAAUUCGGAGGAAAGAAGGUUCCGACCGGAACACCGUCGUUGGCGAAGUCGUGUGUAGUGGUUGUUUUGUCGCUCCUCGGUGGUGCCUCUAUUGUCCACAACAUCUACAAACCUGACCUUACUUUGCCGCCUUUGGAAGAAGUGAGUGAAGAUAAGCCAAAGGAGAAGCAGUGAUGAUUGCAUCUAUCUCGUUGUCUGUCAUUUGCUCUAAGUUUGACUUGAGUAAUGAAAGAUGCCAUUAGAUCAGAAGACUUAGAUUUCGAGCUAAAUGUAUGAAUCUUUGAAAAGGGUCAUGUAAGGAUAUGAAGUAUACACUUUUUUAUUUCCCGAAACUAAGUGAUGAAACUUGCUGUUGAAUGAAGUUUAAUGUCAUGCAUGCUUGUUUUGAAGUAUGAUUAAAUA
Long non-coding RNA from Chenopodium quinoa (quinoa), 745 nucleotides. RefSeq lists it as uncharacterized. NCBI's taxonomy places the organism in Eukaryota, Viridiplantae, Streptophyta, Magnoliopsida, Caryophyllales, Amaranthaceae. The record is from RefSeq and is a predicted model, not a curated record. The transcript has 2 exons.